GGAAGUAAAAGUCGUAACAAGGUUUCCGUAGGUGAACCUGCGGAAGGAUCAUUAAAGAGUUAGGGUCCCUCCAGGCCCGACCUCCCAACCCUUUGUUUACCUUGCUGCAUGUUGCUUUGGCGGACCCGUCUCACGACCGCCCUGGGACCGCCGAGAGGUGCCCCUGGGCCCGUGUCCGCCGAUAGCCAACCUAAACUCUUGAAUGAAUCGUGUUUUAUGUCUGAGUCUAUUGAUUAAAUCAAAAGCAAAAACUUUCAACAACGGAUCUCUUGGUUCUGGCAUCGAUGAAGAACGCAGCGAAAUGCGAUAAGUAAUGCGAAUUGCAGAAUUCCCGUGAGUCAUCGAAUCUUUGAACGCACAUUGCGCCCUUUGGUAUUCCAAAGGGCAUGCCUGUCCGAGCGUCAUUAUCACCCCUCAAGCCCCGUGCUUGGUGUUGGACGGAUUUUGGUCGUGUAACAACGGCCCCUCCUAAAGACAAUGACGGCGGCCUGCGGAUCCCCCGGUACACUGAGCUUUUAACUGAGCACGUAUCGGACAAGGGCGCCCAGGACACGGUCCUUCUCCUCAACCAGGAAAUUUCUUCAAGGUUGACCUCGGAUCAGGUAGGAAUACGCGCUGAACUUAAGCAUAUCAAUAAGCGGAGGA
This 645-nucleotide unclassified non-coding RNA is filed under the name Phialophora verrucosa. Its description in RNAcentral is "partial contains small subunit rRNA, ITS1, 5.8S rRNA, ITS2 and large subunit rRNA". The stretch from base 250 to 404 matches the Rfam family "5.8S ribosomal RNA". Lineage: Eukaryota; Fungi; Ascomycota; Eurotiomycetes; Chaetothyriales; Herpotrichiellaceae. The record is from RNAcentral.